UUAGAUGCAUCUACAAUCCAACAACUUGUUGCUUUAUCAACUGUAUCGAUCCAAUAAUUAAUGUUGUUGGAUGAAAGUUAGGUGAUAGAAAUUAAUAUCAAACCUUGUGAAAUUGUUUAUGUACACUAUUGAUCUGAAAAAAGUUUGUAUCAAAGAGAGAAAACUAAAAGGCGAAUUAGUCUUGAAUCGAAGAGUAGAGGUAAGAUCUGCGUACAUUCUGAUAUUUUUCAAUUGAAUUUUGUGGAAUUACGUUGAAUAUGUUGUUGUUGUUGUCGUAAGUAGAGUGAUGGAAUUUGGAAGAGGUGAAUUGAAGGUAAGAGGUACAGCAGUAAUGGAGAAGAUGAAAUCAAUAGAAGAUAUUUUGAAGAUGUUGAUGGAUUCCCCAGUAGGAUUUAUCAUUUCAAUUGGGUUGAUUGUGAUUUUGUUGUCCUUAAUUUGUCGUUGCUGCUGCAGAGGAAAUAAUAAUAGGAGAAAUGUGGAGAUGAUGAAGGCUCAACGUCGUAGGAAAUAUACUUGAAGUCAGUGACGAAGUUAGAUUUUCAAAAAGAUAAAUAAAGUUCGUAUGGGAAAUUUAACAUCUUAUAUAUAUACUAGAUCGAGUUCAUCUAUCUACAUAGCAUAAUCUUUCAACAAAGGCGAUUCAAUUGUUCCACUGGCUCCUAAUUCGUUUUGAGCUAAGAGAUAUCAUCUAACUUGUGUAUUGUGUUGGCUGCACCCAGCACCACCAUGUCCACUGCCUGUAAUUCCUUUCAUUUUGAAUUUGAAGUUAGGAGGGUAUUACACGAGUUUGUAAAUCGAAAUGGAAAUCGAACAUUUCCUAGUUAAAAAGUGUGGAAUUUCGUUUGAGCUAUCAUUUGUCAGGACUCUUUGGCAUAAGAUGCUUGAUUUAGAUAUAAGACAUUUAUUCUGUUAUUAUUCUUGUGGCAUAAGAUGCUUGAUUUAGAUAUAAGACAUUUAUUCUGUUAUUA
RNAcentral lists this long non-coding RNA (968 nucleotides) under Solanum tuberosum (potato). Its description in RNAcentral is "long non-coding RNA (STUB_LNC005315)". The record is from RNAcentral. Lineage: Eukaryota; Viridiplantae; Streptophyta; Magnoliopsida; Solanales; Solanaceae.